This 448-nucleotide ribosomal RNA is filed under the name Varibaculum cambriense. Its description in RNAcentral is "bacterial LSU rRNA". It matches the Rfam family "Bacterial large subunit ribosomal RNA", at positions 1809 to 2252 of the family's 2925-position model. The record is from RNAcentral. Lineage: Bacteria; Bacillati; Actinomycetota; Actinomycetes; Actinomycetales; Actinomycetaceae.
AAAAACAUAGGUGCGUGCGAAGCCGUAAGGCGAGGUAUACGCACUGACGCCUGCCCGGUGCCGGAAGGUUAAGAGGAGCUGUCAGCCUUUUUGGCGAAGCGGUGAAUUUAAGCCCCGGUAAACGGCGGUGGUAACUAUAACCAUCCUAAGGUAGCGAAAUUCCUUGUCGGGUAAGUUCCGACCUGCACGAAUGGCGUAACGACUUCUGUGCUGUCUUGACCGCGAACUCGGCGAAAUUGCAUUACGAGUAAAGAUGCUCGUUACGCGCAGCAGGACGGAAAGACCCCGGGACCUUUACUAUAGCUUGGUAUUGGUGGCUGGUUGUGUUUGUGUAGGAUAGGUGGGAGACGUUGAAGCAGCCACGCUAGUGGUUGUGGAGUCGGCAAGUGAAAUACCACUCUGAUGUUGCUGGUUAUCUGAACCUGGGCCCAUUAUCUGGGUUAGGGAC